Molecule: ribosomal RNA, 498 nt
Filed under: uncultured bacterium
Lineage: Bacteria
Description: partial 16S ribosomal RNA
Rfam family: Bacterial small subunit ribosomal RNA
Source: RNAcentral
GAUGAACGCUGGCGGCGUGCCUAAUACAUGCAAGUCGAACGCUUCACUUCGGUGAAGAGUGGCGAACGGGUGAGUAAUACAUAAGUAACCUGGCAUCUACAGGGGGAUAACUGAUGGAAACGUCAGCUAAGACCGCAUAGGUGUAGAGAUCGCAUGAACUCUAUAUGAAAAGUGCUACGGGACUGGUAGAUGAUGGACUUAUGGCGCAUUAGCUGGUUGGUAGGGUAACGGCCUACCAAGGCGACGAUGCGUAGCCGACCUGAGAGGGUGACCGGCCACACUGGAACUGAGACAAGGCCCAGACUCCUACGGGAGGCAGCAGUAGGGAAUUUUCGGCAAUGGGGGAAACCCUGACCGAGCAACGCCGCGUGAAGGAAGAAGUAAUUCGUUAUGUAAACUUCUGUCAUAGAGGAAGAACGGUGGAUAUAGGGAAUGAUAUCCAAGUGACGGUACUCUAUAAGAGAGCCACGGCUAACUACGUGCCAGCCGCCGCAGUAA